This is a long non-coding RNA of Pezoporus occidentalis (night parrot), 883 nucleotides long. RefSeq lists it as uncharacterized. NCBI's taxonomy places the organism in Eukaryota, Metazoa, Chordata, Aves, Psittaciformes, Psittacidae. The record is from RefSeq and is a predicted model, not a curated record. The transcript is spliced from 5 exons.
CCUUGCUAGCCUAAGACGUUUUUGCGGGAGCUGGUGUUACCCAUGUUGGAGAAUAGCCGCUCCAGGGGCGUUCCUGUGGAGAAUGGAAUGAAAACCCCAAAAAGUGGAUUCUUUGGUGGAGCAACUUCAUUCUUCAGUGUUUCCACCGAUGCUAAUUAUGAAGCUAGGAAAUCUCCCCGGACACAUCAGCUGAUAGCUUGACAGACACUUACAAGACAGUGUUGAUGAGCCUGUACAUGAUACAUGCCUACUGAAUGUAUUCAUAUAUACUUAAAAGGUUCUCCUAGGGCAUCUGGAUUUUUUCACUCAAGUCAUGAACACCAAUCAAUGAGACCAGCAGCUCAACAGAAUGAGAAAUGGUACAUUUAAAAGGAGAACUUAGUGAAACCAAGCAAAUACCUAAUUCUGCUCAUGACUGGGAAAGCUACAAGACUCUUUUCUUACAGCAAUUUCAGCAUUGUCCUCAUGACCAUGCUCACAAGCUAUGCAGGAACCAGACUACAAAUACUAGUUCAGUUUUGAAAGCCCAGUGGGAUCUGUGUGUCCAGACAACCCAGUGGCUUAACACACUGCCAGUUCAGGGAGAAAGUGACUUGGAAGUUAGUGAUGUAACAUAUCUGUGAGCCAUUAUCAAUCUCACUGGGAAGAUCUGAGAGUUCUUUUCCCUUAUCUUGUAAAGAAGUGCAUCAUAGUAGUUAGAUAGGAAACAAAAACCGGUAGGCAAUCAUCCCUUGUAGAGCAAAAAAACACUGAAGAGGUUAUAAAACAAAAGUAGACAUAGCUACUGACUGCUGAGGUAGUUUAUCCUAUAUAUUCAGUUUUUUCCAACUUUGGAAGUAAUAAAAUGUUACAUUUAAAUUGUUGACAUUAAAUAAGUUUUGAA